AGUGAACGCUGGCGGUAGGCUUAACACAUGCAAGUCGAACGGCAGCACAGUAGCAGCUUGCUCUAACGGGUGGCGGAUGGCGGACGGGUGAGGAAUACGUCGGAAUCUACUCUUUCGUAGGGGAUAACGUAGGGAAACUUACGCUAAUACCGCAUACGACCUACGGGGGAAAGCAGGAGAUCUUCGGACCUUGCGCGAGUGAAUGAGCCGAUGUCGGAUUAGCUAGUUGGAGGGGUAAAGGCCCACCAAGGCGGCGAACCGUAGCUGGUGUGAGUGGAUGGUCACCCGCACUGGAGGUGGGACAGGGUCCAUGCUCCUACGGGAGGCAGCAGUGGGGAAUGUUGGGCAGUGGGGGCAAGUCUGAUCCAGCCAUACCGCGUGGGAGAAGGAGGCCCUGGGGUUGUAAAGCCCUUUUGUUGGGAGAGAAAAGCAGCAGCUUAAUACGCCGCUGUUCUGACGGUACCCAAAGAAUAAGCACCGGCUAACUACGUG
RNAcentral lists this ribosomal RNA (492 nucleotides) under uncultured bacterium. RNAcentral describes it as "partial 16S ribosomal RNA". It matches the Rfam family "Bacterial small subunit ribosomal RNA", at positions 29 to 507 of the family's 1533-position model. The record is from RNAcentral.